RNAcentral lists this ribosomal RNA (527 nucleotides) under Bifidobacterium breve. Its description in RNAcentral is "bacterial SSU rRNA". It matches the Rfam family "Bacterial small subunit ribosomal RNA", at positions 159 to 696 of the family's 1533-position model. The record is from RNAcentral. Lineage: Bacteria; Bacillati; Actinomycetota; Actinomycetes; Bifidobacteriales; Bifidobacteriaceae.
GGUGGUAAUGCCGGAUGCUCCAUCACACUGCAUGGUGUGUUGGGAAAGCCUUUGCGGCAUGGGAUGGGGUCGCGUCCUAUCAGCUUGAUGGCGGGGUAACGGCCCACCAUGGCUUCGACGGGUAGCCGGCCUGAGAGGGCGACCGGCCACAUUGGGACUGAGAUACGGCCCAGACUCCUACGGGAGGCAGCAGUGGGGAAUAUUGCACAAUGGGCGCAAGCCUGAUGCAGCGACGCCGCGUGAGGGAUGGAGGCCUUCGGGUUGUAAACCUCUUUUGUUAGGGAGCAAGGCAUUUUGUGUUGAGUGUACCUUUCGAAUAAGCACCGGCUAACUACGUGCCAGCAGCCGCGGUAAUACGUAGGGUGCAAGCGUUAUCCGGAAUUAUUGGGCGUAAAGGGCUCGUAGGCGGUUCGUCGCGUCCGGUGUGAAAGUCCAUCGCUUAACGGUGGAUCCGCGCCGGGUACGGGCGGGCUUGAGUGCGGUAGGGGAGACUGGAAUUCCCGGUGUAACGGUGGAAUGUGUAGAUA